This 81-nucleotide small RNA is filed under the name Flavobacterium frigidimaris. RNAcentral describes it as "Flavo-1 RNA". It matches the Rfam family "Flavo-1 RNA". The record is from RNAcentral. Lineage: Bacteria; Pseudomonadati; Bacteroidota; Flavobacteriia; Flavobacteriales; Flavobacteriaceae.
GCCUAGCCCCGAUAGAAGUGGAAAUCCUUUUGUGUCCGCCACGGCGGACACAAAAGAUUGGAACGGAUAGCGGGAUUAGCU